CGUGUAGGCGGCUUGGUAGGUCUCGCGUCAAAACCUGAGGCUCAACCUCAGUUCGCGUGGGAAACCACCUAGCUAGAGUCCGGAAGAGGAGAACGGAAUUCCCAGUGUAGCGGUGAAAUGCGCAGAUAUUGGGAAGAACACCAGUGGCGAAGGCGGUUCUCUGGGACGGUACUGACGCUGAGACGCGAAAGCGUGGGGAGCGAACA
This 206-nucleotide ribosomal RNA is filed under the name uncultured bacterium. Its description in RNAcentral is "partial 16S ribosomal RNA". It matches the Rfam family "Bacterial small subunit ribosomal RNA", at positions 568 to 774 of the family's 1533-position model. The record is from RNAcentral.